CAGAGAAUACAUUCAGCAUUUGUUUUUUUGGNACAUCCCCAGCCCCUUGUUUGUCUCUUCUUGAAUGAAGUUGUGAGGAAAUUUGGCUCUCAACUUCUGAACUGUCAUUAUGUUAGAAACGGAAGCACUGUUUCAAGUGUAGAGAUCUUCUCGUAUUCAAACUGGCACUUUUGGAUAAAAUGCAAAUAUAAUUUUGAUGAUUAAGAAAAUGUGAUGCCUGAUAAGUUUUGCUUUAUAAUUGUUUUACCUACAUAAAUAUAGGUAAAAUAUUAUUAGUUCCAUUUAUAUCUAUAAUUGAUUAAGAUAAUGAACAAUUAAAAUGUAAGCCAGAAUUUAUGAAGUAUUUAAUUAAUAGCAGUAAAUAUAUUGCAUUUCCAGUUGCAUUGUCUACCAGAAUCUUUCAAUAUAUAAUAAAUCUUAUAUUUUUGAAGUUGAACAAUUAGAAUAAAUUUUAUUUAAAAAUAUCACUCUCCCUAUGCUUCAGGUUCCAACUAAUUAUAAUUAAACCUACUGCUUCUGCUAUUACAAGUUUACAAAGCAAUGGAAUUAUUGCCAGUACCUGGCCUUCCUGUUCAAUCUUUCUUUCUUCUUCUUUUUUGUUUGUUUUUGACUAUAUCUAUAAUCUGUGUAAUGCUUUAUUCUCCUGGCUAGCCUAUGUUAUUGCAGUGAAAGUUUUGAAAGAAAGAUUAUUUUGAAUCAAGGACAGAAAACUCCAGGAGCUUAGUAAUUUUUUCCUCUGAUUAAUUUUCAAUUUAAGAACAAAAUUAAAAAUAUCCCACCAAACAUUUUGCUUCGAUAGGC
RNAcentral lists this long non-coding RNA (801 nucleotides) under Marmota monax (woodchuck). Lineage: Eukaryota; Metazoa; Chordata; Mammalia; Rodentia; Sciuridae. The record is from RNAcentral.